RNAcentral lists this long non-coding RNA (674 nucleotides) under Nicotiana benthamiana. RNAcentral describes it as "long non-coding RNA (NBEN_LNC034263)". Lineage: Eukaryota; Viridiplantae; Streptophyta; Magnoliopsida; Solanales; Solanaceae. The record is from RNAcentral.
ACAUCCUAAAACAUGAUAUAAACUUAGUCGAAUCCUCAAAUCACGUCAAACAAUAACCUUUCGUUCAACUUUCAAACAUCGUCGAACACAUCUAAAUUACACUUAAAUAUUCCGGAUUGAUGCCAAACUUUACGUGCUAGAAAACAAUCACUAUAUGAACCUAUUUCAAUCCUCGAAACUCCAAAUAGACAUUGAUAACAUCAAAGUCUACUUUAAACCAUACUUAGGAGAUUCUUAAGCUUUAAAUUUGCCAACUUUCCUUAAUAAGCUCUUAAAUUCUCCCGGACCACUAACAUUGAAUCCGAACAUAUGCCCCAGUCUGAAAUCAUCGUAUAAACUUAUUGGAACCUUCGAAUCUGGAUUCGGAGGUUGUUUACUCAAAAGUCAAACAUUUGUCAACUCUUCCAACUUAAAGCUUUUGAAUUUUCCAUCUGACUCAACUUUGAACUUUUUGAAAAUCAAAUUCCGACUCCACGUACAAGUCAUAGUACAUGAAGUGAAGCUACUCAAGGACUUAAAUGACCAAGCGACGCGCUAGAUCUCAAAACGACCGGUUGGGUCGUUACAAUAACCACUUGUAUAAUUGGCACCGGUAAAUAGAAUUUCCUUGCUACUCAGUGUUAGUCAUCAUGUGACCUCAAAAUAGUCAUUGACACCUUUUUUUUAAUCAAAGU